Non-coding RNA from Arachis ipaensis, 467 nucleotides. Lineage: Eukaryota; Viridiplantae; Streptophyta; Magnoliopsida; Fabales; Fabaceae. The record is from RefSeq and is a predicted model, not a curated record.
AUAUUUUACUUGUGUUGUGGUCUUAAUAAAGUAAUUAGGAAUGAUGUUUAUGGAUAAGGAAUUGUUAAUGUGAUUGGAAUUUUGUUUAAUUAACGUGAAUUAAAGGAAGGAACUUAAAACUAUUUUAAGUGAAAUUGUUUUUAUGAUAUGAAUUAGCUAUUUGUAUUUACUCUGUUUAGUGCGGCAUUCAUAUUCCCUACUGAGAACUAGUGGUUUGUUCUCACCCCAAAAUCUUCCACCCUUUCAGUGACAGGUUCGGAGACUCAGUUUGAAGCCGCGGGCGAUUAGGAGUUUUAUUUAAGUUAAGUUUAUGUGUUGAGUUGCUUUUAUAGAAUUCCCUCGCCCUUGUUAUUAUUUUAUUUUAUUUUAUACAGAGGGAUAGGAGUUGAGUUGUAACUGAGUUUCUUUUGUAUUCUUUUGUAAGAUAUUUAUUAUUAUUAAUAACUAUGUGACUAGUAUUUCUUGGA